GAUGAACGCUGGCGGCGUGCCUAAUACAUGCAAGUCGAGCGAACAGACGAGGAGCUUGCUCCUCUGAUGUUAGCGGCGGACGGGUGAGUAACACGUGGAUAACCUACCUAUAAGACUGGGAUAACUUCGGGAAACCGGAGCUAAUACCGGAUAACAUGUUGAACCGCAUGGUUCAACAGUGAAAGACGGUCUUGCUGUCACUUAUAGCUGGAUCCGCGCCGCAUUAGCUAGUUGGUAAGGUAACGGCUUACCAAGGCAACGAUGCGUAGCCGACCUGAGAGGGUGAACGGCCACACUGGAACUGAGACACGGUCCAGACUCCUACGGGAGGCAGAAGUAGGGAAGCUUCCGAAAUGGGCGAAAGCCUGACGGAGCAACGCCGCGUGAGUGAAGAAGGUCUUCGGAUCGUAAGACUCUGUUAUGAUGGAAGAACAAUUGUGUAAGUAACUAUGCACGUCUUGACGGUACCUAAUCAGAAAGCCACGGCUAACUACGUG
Molecule: ribosomal RNA, 497 nt
Filed under: uncultured bacterium
Lineage: Bacteria
Description: partial 16S ribosomal RNA
Rfam family: Bacterial small subunit ribosomal RNA
Source: RNAcentral